UUCCGCUUACUGAUAUGCUUAAGUUCGGCGGGUAGUCUUGUCUGAUCCGAGGUCGGAGUAAGAAUG
RNAcentral lists this ribosomal RNA (66 nucleotides) under Mya sp. LYG_yan. RNAcentral's name for it is "partial 5.8S ribosomal RNA". The record is from RNAcentral. Lineage: Eukaryota; Metazoa; Mollusca; Bivalvia; Myida; Myidae.